GUGCCAGCCGCCGCGGUAAUACGAAGGGGGCUAGCGUUGUUCGGAAUUACUGGGCGUAAAGCGCACGUAGGCGGAUUUGUAAGUCAGGGGUGAAAUCCCGGGGCUCAACCUCGGAACUGCCUUUGAUACUGCAAGUCUCGAGUCCGAUAGAGGUGAGUGGAAUUCCUAGUGUAGAGGUGAAAUUCGUAGAUAUUAGGAAGAACACCAGUGGCGAAGGCGGCUCACUGGAUCGGUACUGACGCUGAGGUGCGAAAGCGUGGGGAGCAAACAGGAUUAGAAACCCCAGUAGUCC
This 292-nucleotide ribosomal RNA is filed under the name uncultured bacterium. RNAcentral describes it as "partial 16S ribosomal RNA". It matches the Rfam family "Bacterial small subunit ribosomal RNA", at positions 505 to 796 of the family's 1533-position model. The record is from RNAcentral.